RNAcentral lists this ribosomal RNA (253 nucleotides) under uncultured bacterium. RNAcentral's name for it is "partial 16S ribosomal RNA". It matches the Rfam family "Bacterial small subunit ribosomal RNA", at positions 524 to 776 of the family's 1533-position model. The record is from RNAcentral.
CACGUAGGCACCAAGCGUUGUCCGGAAUUAUUGGGCGUAAAGGGCUCGUAGGCGGUUUGUCGCGUCGGGAGUGAAAACCUUGGGCUUAACUCAGGGCUUGCUUUCGAUACGGGCAGACUAGAGGUAUGCAGGGGAGAACGGAAUUCCUGGUGUAGCGGUGAAAUGCGCAGAUAUCAGGAGGAACACCGGUGGCGAAGGCGGUUCUCUGGGCAUGAUCUGACGCUGAGGAGCGAAAGUGUGGGGAGCGAACAGG